This 935-nucleotide ribosomal RNA is filed under the name Natronorubrum aibiense. Its description in RNAcentral is "bacterial SSU rRNA". It matches the Rfam family "Archaeal small subunit ribosomal RNA", at positions 421 to 1352 of the family's 1478-position model. Lineage: Archaea; Methanobacteriati; Methanobacteriota; Halobacteria; Halobacteriales; Natrialbaceae. The record is from RNAcentral.
AGGAAGGUUACAGAAUAAGUGCUGGGCAAGACCGGUGCCAGCCGCCGCGGUAAUACCGGCAGCACGAGUGAUGACCGCUAUUAUUGGGCCUAAAGCGUCCGUAGCUGGCCGCGCAAGUCUAUCGGGAAAUCCGCACGCCUAACGUGCGGGCGUCCGGUGGAAACUGCACGGCUUGGGACCGGAAGAUCCGAAGGGUACGUCUGGGGUAGGAGUGAAAUCCCGUAAUCCUGGACGGACCGCCGGUGGCGAAAGCGCUUUUGGAAGACGGAUCCGACGGUGAGGGACGAAAGCUCGGGUCACGAACCGGAUUAGAUACCCGGGUAGUCCGAGCUGUAAACGAUGUCUGCUAGGUGUGUCACAAACUACGAGUUUGUGAUGUGCCGUAGGGAAGCCGUGAAGCAGACCGCCUGGGAAGUACGUCCGCAAGGAUGAAACUUAAAGGAAUUGGCGGGGGAGCACUACAACCGGAGGAGCCUGCGGUUUAAUUGGACUCAACGCCGGACAUCUCACCAGCAUCGACAAUGUGCAGUGACGGUCAGUGUGAUGAGCUUACCUGAGCCAUUGAGAGGAGGUGCAUGGCCGCCGUCAGCUCGUACCGUGAGGCGUCCUGUUAAGUCAGGCAACGAGCGAGACCCGCAUGCCUAAUUGCCAGCAGUACCCUUGAGGUAGCUGGGUACAUUAGGGAGACUGCCAGUGCCAAACUGGAGGAAGGAACGGGCAACGGUAGGUCAGUAUGCCCCGAAUGUGCUGGGCGACACGCGGGCUACAAUGGCCACGACAGUGGGAUGCAACCCCGAAAGGGGACGCUAAUCUCCGAAACGUGGUCGUAGUUCGGAUUGAGGGCUGAAACUCGCCCUCAUGAAGCUGGAUUCGGUAGUAAUCGCGCCUCAGAAGGGCGCGGUGAAUACGUCCCUGCUCCUUGCACACACCGCCCG